GGGGCUGAGCAGGGAGCUCCUGCCCUCAGCUGCUCUUCCACAGCCUGAGCUGUGUCACCUCCAACACAUUGCUGGGCUGGGGGAAGAGGAUUUUCAGUUCUGUUUCCUUU
Gallus gallus (chicken) is the source of this 110-nucleotide microRNA precursor. The record is from Ensembl. Lineage: Eukaryota; Metazoa; Chordata; Aves; Galliformes; Phasianidae.